AUGGUUUUAUCGGGGGUUUCUGCUUUGCUUCUUCCUCAUUUUGUUUUGCCACUCUCAUGUAAGAAAUGCCUUUCACCUCCCACCACGAUCCUGAGGCCUUCCAGUCAUAUGGAACCAGUCUGUGAGUAAGCUGACAAGAAAGAAGUGAAUAUUGAAGUUUUUAACAUCAAUAAUAAGGCUCCAGUUGUUCAUUCUUCGAAUCAUGGUGAAAUAGCUAAAACGGCAAUGAAUUGAGAUGAUCAUAAUAGUGACAACGAAGACAAUGUUAACACUGCCCAAAAAGAAUGUAUAGAUGAUGUGGUAAAAAGGUGUGAUGAGUUUAUUAAAGGAGAGUUAAUGAGUAGAUGACUCUGGGGGAAAUAUGUGGAAAGCCAUCCACAAGAAACUCUCCUCAUUUUUAGAAAACACACUUCCUGGUCCCUCAACUGGUUUGAUGUUUGUAUUCAGCACCCCCCAAAAUAAAAUAAGUUGCACAUAAACCAUCUAAUCAAAAUACAGCACCAUGGUGGAGACCGGAAGCCUGGCGUUGUUUGUUGUUGCUGCUGUCUAACAACUGAUGUUAACUAUUCUGGCGAUGUUACUAUGCUGUUUUGUUACUCAGAACACAUGAGCUUUCACUGUAUUAAUUGUAUGUCACAUUUUUCUGCUACAUACUUAUGUAUGAAUAAGCCAAAGGAAAUGAUCGCUUAUCAGUAGUGCAUAGUAGUGUAUACCUUUAGAGACAGGAAUGCUGGUGUCAAACAAGCAGACUGUCCACAUGGGUGGCUGAGAGAGCGACAGUGACUGUGCUUUCUGGUGGUUUAAUGUAUAUAACCUGGUUGGUGCACAAAUUAAUUAAAAAUAUUGUAUAAAAUCAUCUGCAAGCUAUGUAUAUGAGGUGUCUAUAAAAUGGAAAUGGUUUUGUUUUUACACUUAUGUCCCAGUCCCUAAAGUAUCUCAUUGUGAGUAUGCAAAUAUUCCAAAAUAUGAAAUACUCUGAAAUCUAACACAUAUCUGGUAUCAAGAAUUUUUAGACAAGGUUUACUCCAUCUGUACCACUUACCAUGUUACAAAUUGAUAGUUAAGUGUCUCUUUAUUCAAAACUGAGUUUCUAAAUAAUAAGAUACAACACAUUAUUGCAUAUGAUUUGAAACUGAAUGCUUACUGUCAGUUUUGAAGCUUGAAGCUUUAUGUCAAAAUGUUUAUUAUUAUUGCAAAUGAUUUAUGUAGCCUGUCCAUCAUCCUUAUAUUAUUAAAAUUUUAGUUGACUUGAUCAAUAUUUAAAAAAGAUAUAAAUAUUAAAAAAUUAGAAGUUCUCAAAUUGGAGUUAUCACUGCUUACCCAGGAUUUGGUUAAUACUUUUUCUUAACCACAGGAGAUAAAAAUAGACAGUCAAUGUAUAUAAUAAAAAUUAAACUAGG
This 1400-nucleotide long non-coding RNA is filed under the name Callithrix jacchus (white-tufted-ear marmoset). RNAcentral's name for it is "lncRNA (ENSCJAG00000070499.1)". Lineage: Eukaryota; Metazoa; Chordata; Mammalia; Primates; Cebidae. The record is from RNAcentral.